GCCCGCGGCGAUAGCACUUUGAAUUCACCAGUCCCCCUAUUGGUCACUGAUGUUAAAUAACGGUGCGCUUGGUUAGUAUCGGGAUGGGUGACCAUCUGAGCUAUCGCGAGCUGAUGGCU
This 119-nucleotide ribosomal RNA is filed under the name Diaphorina citri (Asian citrus psyllid). Lineage: Eukaryota; Metazoa; Arthropoda; Insecta; Hemiptera; Psyllidae. The record is from RNAcentral.